GCUGCCUCCGAAGCCCCAGUGCACAGGGCGUGGAGGAGGGAGACGGCGAGGAGCUUGCGGGCAGCUGGGCAGGAGGGUGCUGCUGGGCAGGAGGGUGCUGCUGGGCCGAUCUGUGAAGGACAGAUGAGCAGGCACUUGGCCGACGGCCAGGGCGCAGGUGGACGGGUCCAAAGGCAGCACUUGAGCACUGUGUCCUCAUGGAAGAAGGAAGACCCGGGAGGCCCCAGAGGUGCAGCGGAAAAUGCAAACGGGGGACAGCUGCUGUGAACUCUUUAUAUUUCACUCAGAAGAUGGUGUAUCUUUUUAUUGCAUACAGGAAUUACUUAUUUGAAAAAAAUAUAUCCUUUCAGGGCGACCUGAGCUGCAAGACAGAGGGGGUGGUGGUGCUCCAGGGGCUAUUGAUAGAGCAUUUGCAUUAA
This 419-nucleotide long non-coding RNA is filed under the name Ictidomys tridecemlineatus (thirteen-lined ground squirrel). RNAcentral describes it as "lncRNA (ENSSTOG00000030295.1)". Lineage: Eukaryota; Metazoa; Chordata; Mammalia; Rodentia; Sciuridae. The record is from RNAcentral.